AGGGAAUCUUCCACAAUGGGCGCAAGCCUGAUGGAGCACCACCGCGUGAGUGAAGAAGGGUUUCGGCUCGUAAAGCUCUGUUGUUGGAGAAGAACGUGCGUGAGAGUAACUGUUCACGCAGUGACGGUAUCCAACCAGAAAGUCACGGCUAACUACGUGCCAGCAGCCGCGGUAAUACGUAGGUGGCAAGCGUUAUCCGGAUUUAUUGGGCGUAAAGCGAGCGCAGGCGGUUGCUUAGGUCUGAUGUGAAAGCCUUCGGCUUAACCGAAGAAGUGCAUCGGAAACCGGGCGACUUGAGUGCAGAAGAGGACAGUGGAACUCCAUGUGUAGCGGUGGAAUGCGUAGAUAUAUGGAAGAACACCAGUGGCGAAGGCGGCUGUCUGGUCUGCAACUGACGCUGAGGCUCGAAAGCAUGGGUAGCGAAC
Molecule: ribosomal RNA, 425 nt
Filed under: uncultured bacterium
Lineage: Bacteria
Description: bacterial SSU rRNA
Rfam family: Bacterial small subunit ribosomal RNA
Source: RNAcentral